This 495-nucleotide ribosomal RNA is filed under the name Pleurocordyceps nipponica. RNAcentral describes it as "SSU rRNA". It matches the Rfam family "Eukaryotic small subunit ribosomal RNA", at positions 65 to 568 of the family's 1831-position model. Lineage: Eukaryota; Fungi; Ascomycota; Sordariomycetes; Hypocreales; Polycephalomycetaceae. The record is from RNAcentral.
AUAAGCAUUAUACGGCGAAACUGGCAAUGGCUCAUUAUAUAAGUUAUCGUUUAUUUGAUAGCACAUUACUACUUGGAUAACCGUGGUAAUUCUAGAGCUAAUACAUGCUAAAAAUCCCGACUUCGGAAGGGAUGUAUUUAUUAGAUUAAAAACCAAUGCCCUCCGGGCUCUCUGGUGAAUCAUGAUAACUGCUCGAAUCGCAGGGCCUCGUGCCGGCGAUGGUUCAUUCAAAUUUCUUCCCUAUCAACUUUCGAUGUUUGGGUAUUGGCCAAACAUGGUUACAACGGGUAACGGAGGGUUAGGGCUCGACCCCGGAGAAGGAGCCUGAGAGACGGCUACUACAUCCAAGGAAGGCAGCAGGCGCGCAAAUUACCCAAUCCCGACACGGGGAGGUAGUGACAAUAAAUACUGAUACAGGGCUCUUUCGGGUCUUGUAAUUGGAAUGAGUACAAUUUAAAUCCCUUAACGAGGAACAAUUGGAGGGCAAGUCUGGCC